UCUGAGAAUUUUGCUCAGAUACCACAGGAGACUGACCUUGGCAUGUCAAGGUAACGUUCAGAGCGUGGGUACUUUGCCAAGGACUGGCUGUCGGAGCUCCUCACGAUCACUCAGCCACUGGAGAUGCCUCCUUCCCUGGCAGUACUGCAAAACUGGAGUUUAGGAGCUGUUUCUCUCUGAGGUGCUGCGGACCAGCUGCUC
This is a long non-coding RNA of Manacus vitellinus (golden-collared manakin), 201 nucleotides long. RefSeq lists it as uncharacterized. The record is from RefSeq and is a predicted model, not a curated record. NCBI's taxonomy places the organism in Eukaryota, Metazoa, Chordata, Aves, Passeriformes, Pipridae. The transcript is spliced from 3 exons.